This 66-nucleotide transfer RNA is filed under the name Conus ebraeus. Its description in RNAcentral is "tRNA-Tyr". It matches the Rfam family "tRNA". From Rfam's summary of the family: Transfer RNA (tRNA) molecules are approximately 80 nucleotides in length. Lineage: Eukaryota; Metazoa; Mollusca; Gastropoda; Neogastropoda; Conidae. The record is from RNAcentral.
UGUCUGGUGGCUGAGUUGGAAGCGGUAGACUGUAGAUCUAUUAACGGAAUUAAGUUUCCCCGACAA